AACGGACGCUGGCGGCAUGCCUAACACAUGCAAGUCGAACGAGACCUUCGGGUCUAGUGGCGCACGGGUGCGUAACGCGUGGGAACCUGCCUUUAGGUUCGGAAUAACUCAGAGAAAUUUGAGCUAAUACCGGAUGAUGUCUUCGGACCAAAGAUUUAUCGCCUUUAGAUGGGCCCGCGUUGGAUUAGCUAGCUGGUGGGGUAAAGGCCUACCAAGGCGACGAUCCAUAGCUGGUCUGAGAGGAUGAUCAGCCACACUGGGACUGAGACACGGCCCAGACUCCUACGGGAGGCAGCAGUGGGGAAUAUUGGACAAUGGGCGAAAGCCUGAUCCAGCAAUGCCGCGUGAGUGAUGAAGGCCUUAGGGUUGUAAAGCUCUUUUACCCGAGAUGAUAAUGACAGUAUCGGGAGAAUAAGCUCCGGCUAACUCCGUG
This 433-nucleotide ribosomal RNA is filed under the name uncultured bacterium. Its description in RNAcentral is "partial 16S ribosomal RNA". It matches the Rfam family "Bacterial small subunit ribosomal RNA", at positions 29 to 507 of the family's 1533-position model. The record is from RNAcentral.